AUCAUACAACGGACAAAAUUUUGGAAUCGUAUCACACCAAACAAUUUUGGGUGCAAUGCGCAGUCUGUCCUGUGGGUGGCAGUAAUGGGGAAAAAGUAAUUAAUUGUGCGAUAACUUUUAUGUCAAGAGGAAAGACUGCAUGCAGAGACCACAUGCUUCAGAGAGAAGGAGCUUCGCAUACUCAUCAGAACUACACCAAAAAAAAGGAGACGGUAGGUGAUAUGAAGCAGACGCGACUGUGCAAAGACAAAAUCUGGUAAUGUAAACAGCUGGGUUAAUUCCUGUGUUUUCCUGAAAGAUCGCUGCCGUCACACUAUGAGUUUAAGAAACACGUCUGUUCUGAGCUCUAAUGGACUGUAUGUGGGUAACAGAUGACUGACAAAGAGAUCCUGGAGAAUGCUGUGAAUACACAAUAUUAUUUUAUACUGGUACAUUUCAUUUAAUUUACAUUUCUGAAGAAAUGUGCAACAGCUAAAGAAAGAGUUACAUAUAUACCCCUUUCUGAAAUUAAAGCAACUUCAUAUCAUUUUGCAACAUGGGGUUUGUUCAAACUGUUUUUGUGAACUGUUUAUGUUUUAGUCACCAGAACAGGCAACAUGUCAACUGCCUGGAUUCUCACAGAGCGCUUACACAUUUUUAACCAUAAAAUGAACUUAUCCAGACUCAGUGAACUGUUCAUUACUGGAUCUGUGCUUACAUCCACUUUGCAUAACUAAACCUACCAGAUAUCAUGGAGAGAAUCGACCUGUUCAAGAAAAAUCACCCAAUGGUGUUCCACAGGGCUCAGUGCUCAGCCCGCUUUUUCUAUCAUUAUAAUGCAGAUGAUACUCCACUAUCAUUCUCAACCCACAGGAAUAAAUUUGCACCUCUGCAUGUUUGACAAGUAUGUCCUCUUGGAUGAACACUUCAGAAAUUUACUUUGAAAAUCAAGCUGCUGCUUUCACAGGCCAGAACCAACUUGUGUGUGUGUGU
Molecule: long non-coding RNA, 972 nt
Organism: Sinocyclocheilus rhinocerous
Lineage: Eukaryota; Metazoa; Chordata; Actinopteri; Cypriniformes; Cyprinidae
Exons: 3
Source: RefSeq, a predicted model, not a curated record